AUAUCAACUAAAAAACCGUAAACUAAGUGCAUUUCCAGUUAAUCAAAAAAUAUAAAAGCUUACUUGUUUGUGGCAACACCUGUGGCGCCACCUGCUGUUGCUGCUGAGGCGGCGGCAGUGAUUGUGGCGGCGUCCUGUCCUCAAUGGGAGUUGCUUGCUCCUCGGCAUCUUCUACAUGGUCCAUACUGGUUGGACUGUCCUCCACUGCCCCGUUGCUUGACGCAAGAGCAACAACGCCAACUCCACUUUCAUAUAUCUCCAGCGCACUGCCACUCUCAUCAACUUUCUUACCGCGGCCUCGCCCACGACCACGUCCUCGGCCACGUGCACGUGAACCACGACCACGGCCCCGACCGCGUUUUACUUCAUCAGUGUCCAUUUUAUACUUAAACAAAUAUUAAAAUAUUUUCGUUUUUU
Drosophila montana is the source of this 417-nucleotide long non-coding RNA. RefSeq lists it as uncharacterized. NCBI's taxonomy places the organism in Eukaryota, Metazoa, Arthropoda, Insecta, Diptera, Drosophilidae. The record is from RefSeq and is a predicted model, not a curated record. The transcript is spliced from 2 exons.